This is an RNA transcript of Lathyrus oleraceus (garden pea), 4967 nucleotides long. RefSeq lists it as uncharacterized. The transcript is spliced from 2 exons. NCBI's taxonomy places the organism in Eukaryota, Viridiplantae, Streptophyta, Magnoliopsida, Fabales, Fabaceae. The record is from RefSeq and is a predicted model, not a curated record.
ACGAAUCUGACUAAGAGGAAAUUCGGCGUAGUUUUCUAACAACUGGCAUCAGAGCUGGUUGGUUCGGCCGAAUAAUUGUUUUGGGGGAAAGUACUAUUCAUGUGAAUAGUAACUUUGUGAUUAGUGUUUUUCGUGAAUAGUGAAAAUUGGUCAGCAUUACCAAUUUUUUCGGUGGUUUGCAUAAAUUAUCAUAGGCGAUCCAGAGGAGUCAGGUUCAAGUAGGAACUAUGGCGGCAGACGAAGGAAAAGUGAAAAUCGAAAAGUUCGACGGUGCGGACUUCAGCUUUUGGAAGAUGCAAAUAGAGGAUUAUUUGUAUCAGAAAAGCAUGCAUCAACCUCUCACGAGUAAACCAGCAGAUAUGAAAGAAGAUGACUGGAAACUUCUUGAUAGAAAGGCUCUUGGAGUCAUUCGAUUGACGUUAUCUCGUAAUGUUGCCUUCAACAUUGCCAAAGAAAAGACUACGGCUGGUCUUAUGAAGGCCCUUUCUAACAUGUACGAAAAACCAUCGGCCUCAAACAAAGUUCAUUUGAUGAGGCGGUUGUUCAACUUACGGAUGGCAGAAGGUGCAUCAACGGCGCAACAUCUAAAUGAACUCAGCACAGUCACAACCCAGUUGAGUUCAGUUGGAAUCGACUUUGAUGAUGAAGUACGGGCUUUGAUACUCUUGUCUUCCCUACCAGAAAGUUGGAAUGCUACUGUCACAGCUGUGAGUAGCUCAUCGGGAAGCAACAAGUUAAAAUUUGAUGAUGUUCGUGAUUUGGUUCUCAGUGAGGAGAUCCGACGGAGAGAGUCGGGUGAAUCAUCAACCUCUUCAGUAUUGCAUACAGAGUCAAGAGGAAGGAGUUCAACCAAAGGAAGCGGACGCGGAAAAUCAAAAGAAAGGCGAUCCAAGUCCAGAAAUCAUCAUAGUUCUAACAACUCAAAGACUAUUGAGUGUUGGAAUUGUGGGAAGACGGGACACUAUAAAAACCAGUGCAGGAGUGCACCAAAGAGACAUGAGGCGAAAGAUGAGGCAAACGUUGCUUCAACCUCAAGAGGAGGUGAUGCAUUAAUAUGCUCUUUGGAGAACAAGGAAGAGUCGUGGGUGUUAGACUCUGGAGCAUCCUUUCACGCAACUUUGCAGAAAGAACUCAUCGAGAAUUAUGUCCCUGGAAACCUUGGUAAAGUUUACCUUGGUAAUGAACAAUCUUGCGAGAUUGUAGGAAAAGGUGUAGUGAAGAUUAUGUUGAACGGGUCUGUUUGGGAGCUGAAGAAUGUCAGACAUAUCCCCGACCUGACAAAGAACUUAAUCUCAGUAGGCCAGUUGGCCAGUGACGGCUACACAACAAUCUUCCACGGAGAUCAGUGGAAAAUUUCAAAGGGUGCAAUGACGAUAGCUCGCGGUAAAAAGAGUGGUACUCUUUACAAGACGGCAGGAGAAUGUCAUCUUAUUUCGGUGGCAGCAAGUGGAAAUCCCAACCUAUGGCACCAGAGACUUGGCCAUAUGAGUGAGAAAGGGAUGAAGGUAAUGCACUCGAAGGGCAAACUUGCAGGUCUUCAGUCAGUAGAAAUUGACAUGUGUGAAGACUGUAUAUUUGGAAAGCAGAAGAGAGUUAGCUUUCAGACAAACGGAAGGAAGCCAAAGAAGGAGAGACUCGAGCUCGUUCACUCUGAUGUUUGGGGUCCAACGACAGUCUCAUCCAUUGGUGGAAAACGAUACUUUGUGACUUUUAUUGACGACCACUCCAGAAAGGUAUGGGUAUACUUUCUGAAACAUAAAUCUGAAGUAUUUGAAGCUUUCAAGAUAUGGAAAGCCAUGGUGGAGAAUGAGACAGGGUUGAAGAUCAAAAAGCUCAAAACCGACAAUGGUGGUGAAUAUGAAGACACCAGAUUCAAGAAGUUUUGCUAUGGGCAUGGGAUCAGAAUAGAGAGGACCGUGCCAGGUACGCCUCAACACAAUGGUAUAGCUGAGCGCAUGAACCGAACAUUGACUGAAAGAGCCAGAAGCAUGCGUGUGCAAUCAGGUCUUCCAAAGCAUUUCUGGGCAGAAACAGUCAACACAGCAGCUUACUUGAUCAACCGAGGUCCAUCAGUGCCAUUGGAACAUAGACUACCAGAAGAGGUAUGGAGCGGAAAAGAGGUAAAACUCUCACAUCUUAGAAUUUUCGGCUGUACAGCAUAUGUACACAUCAGCGAUCAAGGCCGGAACAAGCUUGAUCCCAAAUCAAAGAAGUGUACUUUCAUUGGUUACGGUGAAGAUGAGUUUGGUUACCGUCUUUGGGAUGACGAGAACAGAAAGAUGAUCCGCAGUAGAGAUGUGAUCUUCAAUGAGAGGGUAAUGUACAAGGACAAGCAUGAUACAGGUGCCAUCAACUCAGAACCAAGUGGGCCAGUUUAUGCAGAUGUGGACGAUGUCCUUGAAAGACCCACAGUUGAUAGUCCUCAGCCAGAAGAAUCAACUGAACCAGGCAAUGUGCAGCAGUCUGACAGAACAGAGCAUUCUACUCCAGCUCCGGAGUUAAGGAGGUCUUCUCGAGUUCCUGUACCUAACAGGAAAUACAUGAGCUACAUGUUGUUGACAGAUGGAGGAGAACCUGAAGACUAUGCAGAAGCAUGUCAGACAGUAGAUGCGAACAAGUGGGAGCUUGCCAUGAAAGACGAGAUGAAGUCUUUGAUCUCAAAUCAAACAUGGGAACUAGAAGAGUUACCUAUGGGAAAGAAGACACUUCACAAUAAAUGGGUGUAUCGAGUGAAGCAGGAGCAUGAUGGCCCUAAAAGAUAUAAAGCUCGACUUGUUGUAAAAGGAUUCCAACAAAAGAAAGGAGUCGAUUACACCGAGAUUUUCGCACCAGUUGUGAAGCUCAAUACUAUCAGGUCUGUGUUAAGUAUUGUUGCCAGUGAAGAGCUCUACUUGGAGCAGUUGGACGUGAAGACUGCAUUUCUUCACGGAGACCUAGAUGAGGAGAUCUAUAUGCACCAACCAGAAGGUUUCUCAGAGAAAAAGAAUAUGGUGUGCAGAUUAAAGAAGAGCUUGUAUGGCCUAAAGCAAGCUCCAAGGCAGUGGUAUAUGAAGUUUGAGAGCUUCAUGCACAAGGAAGGUUUCAAGAAGUGCAAUGCUGACCACUGUUGUUUCUUCAAGAGAUAUAACUCUAGUUAUAUCAUUUUGCUACUUUAUGUCGAUGAUAUGUUAGUAGCAGGUCCAGAUAUGACCGAGAUCAGAAAUUUGAAGAAACAAUUGUCAAAAGAAUUUGACAUGAAAGAUUUAGGUCCAGCGAAGAAGAUCCUUGGAAUGCAAAUCACGAGAGAUAAGCAAAAGGGAACCUUGCAGUUAUCUCAGACAGAGUACAUCAACCGUGUUUUGCAGAGAUUCAACAUGGACAACGCCAAACCGGUUAGCACACCUUUGGCUAAUCAUUUUCGUCUAUCAAAGGAUCAGUCCCCUAAGACAGAGGAAGAUAAGGAAUUAAUGGCUAAGAUUCCAUAUGCUUCAGCCAUAGGAAGUUUGAUGUACGCGAUGGUCUGCACGAGGCCAGACAUUGGCCAUGCAGUGGGAGUUGUAAGCAGGUUUAUGUCAAAUCCAGGUAAAGCUCAUUGGGAAGCUGUGAAAUGGAUUUUGAGAUAUCUACGAGGCACUAAGGAGAAGUGUUUGUGCUUUAGUAAAGGUAAGUUAAAAGUACAAGGGUACGUAGAUGCAGACUUUGCAGGUGAAGUUGAUCACCGAAGAAGCACGACUGGUUACAUAUUUACUGUUGGUACUAGUGCUGUUAGUUGGAUGUCGCGGAUACAAAAGAUUGUUGCUCUAUCCACUACAGAGGCUGAAUAUGUCGCAGUAACAGAAGCUAGCAAAGAAUUGAUAUGGCUUCAGGGAUUGUUAACAGAGUUGGGUUUCAUCCAAGAGGAUAAUGUCUUGCACAGUGAUAGUCAGAGUGCAAUACAUCUGGCAAAGAAUUCAGCAUUUCACUCUCGAACGAAGCACAUUGAUCUCCGUUAUCACUUCAUCAGAUCUCUGAUUGAGGAUGAGGUACUAACAUUGAGGAAGAUCUUAGGAAGCAAGAAUCCAGCAGACAUGUUGACAAAGGUGGUGACCAUUGACAAACUGAAGUUAUGCUCAACUUCAGUUGGCCUGCUAGAAUAAUAUGCAAGAGAGGCUGCUGCAUGAUCGAGGUGUGAAGACCGACUGAAGUCAGUCUUCAAGUGGGAGAUUGUUAGAUCCACAGGCCUACAUUUCUAGCCAUACUAUUCCACCCUCUAUUUUUCAAUGGUAGUCAACAAAAGAAUAGUAACUUUGAAUUUUGACCAAGAGAAUAGUAACUUUGAAGUUUGACCAAGAGAAUAGUAACUUUGAAUUUGACCAAAAGAAUAGUAACUUUGAAUUUGACCACAUGAAUCAUAUAAAUACUCAUUGAAGUUGUAGGAAAAUUCAAUUUUUUCUCAAGACAAUGAAUGCAUUUGCAUUUGACAGAAAAAUUGUAAUUUGAGAGUUAGAGAAAUUUUCUAGUGUGAGAAAAAUUUCUGUGAGAGAAACUCUUGGGUGUAAUUGGGUUGUGGGUGAGAGAAACUUUUGAGUGUUUGUAAACACAGUGUAUUUUUCUCUUUUCAGUAAAAGGUCUGCAGCAGCCCGGAGACGUAGGCAUACUUGGCCGAACUCCGUUAUCAAUUGUGUGUGUGUUUUUAUGCUUCCGCAUAUUAUUGUUUUUACGAAUCUGACUAAGAGGAAAUUCGGCGUAGUUUUCUAACAAUAACCCUUAUCUUCUGUCCAUAUCUCUUUAUAACCCAUUGAUAUCAAAUUGUGUUAUAAAUUAACCAACAAUCAUUAGCUCUAAUAUCCACUUCAUAUCUCUGAUUUAGAUCUGGCACAAGUAACUAUGAAAGAAAAUGAUGCUGAUGAUGCUCUAGGUGCUCUUGAAAGUAGGCUUUUGGAGAUAAUAUCUCAAACAACUAAAGAGGAGCAUGAACUCCAAGCCCAACAGAAAAUUUAUGCGAGCGU